UGGGGAAUAUUGCACAAUGGAGGGAACUCUGAUGCAGCGACGCCGCGUGAACGAAGAAGGCUUUCGAGUCGUAAAGUUCUUUUAUAUGGGAAGAUAAUGACGGUACCAUAAGAAAAAGCCCCGGCUAACUACGUGCCAGCAGCCGCGGUAAUACGUAGGGGGCUAGCGUUGUCCGGAAUCACUGGGCGUAAAGGGUUCGCAGGCGGAAAUGCAAGUCAGGUGUAAAAGGCAGUAGCUUAACUACUGUAAGCAUUUGAAACUGCAUAUCUUGAGAAGAGUAGAGGUAAGUGGAAUUGUUAGUGUAGCGGUGAAAUGCGUAGAUAUUAAAAAGAAUACCGGUGGCGAAGGCGGCUUACUGGGCUCAUUCUGACGCUGAGGAACGAAAGCGUGGGUAGCAAACAGG
RNAcentral lists this ribosomal RNA (403 nucleotides) under bacterium. RNAcentral describes it as "partial 16S ribosomal RNA". It matches the Rfam family "Bacterial small subunit ribosomal RNA", at positions 355 to 776 of the family's 1533-position model. The record is from RNAcentral.